AAAUUGAAGAGUUUGAUCAUGGCUCAGAUUGAACGCUGGCGGCAGGCCUAACACAUGCAAGUCGAGCGGUAGCACAGAGAGCUUGCUCUCGGGUGACGAGCGGCGGACGGGUGAGUAAUUUCUGGGAAACUGCCUGAUGGAGGGGGAUAACUACUGGAAACGGUAGCUAAUACCGCAUAAUGUCGCAAGACCAAAGUGGGGGACCUUCGGGCCUCAUGCCAUCAGAUGUGCCCAGAUGGGAUUAGCUAGUAGGUGGGGUAACGGCUCACCUAGGCGACGAUCCCUAGCUGGUCUGAGAGGAUGACCAGCCACACUGGAACUGAGACACGGUCCAGACUCCUACGGGAGGCAGCAGUGGGGAAUAUUGCACAAUGGGCGCAAGCCUGAUGCAGCCAUGCCGCGUGUGUGAAGAAGGCCUUCGGGUUGUAAAGCACUUUCAGCGGGGAGGAAGGCGGUGAGGUUAAUAACCUCAUCGAUUGACGUUACCCGCAGAAGAAGCACCGGCUAACUCCGUGCCAGCAGCCGCGGUAAUACGGAGGGUGCAAGCGUUAAUCGGAAUUACUGGGCGUAAAGCGCACGCAGGCGGUCUGUCAAGUCGGAUGUGAAAUCCCCGGGCUCAACCUGGGAACUGCAUUCGAAACUGGCAGGCUAGAGUCUUGUAGAGGGGGGUAGAAUUCCAGGUGUAGCGGUGAAAUGCGUAGAGAUCUGGAGGAAUACCGGUGGCGAAGGCGGCCCCCUGGACAAAGACUGACGCUCAGGUGCGAAAGCGUGGGGAGCAAACAGGAUUAGAUACCCUGGUAGUCCACGCCGUAAACGAUGUCGAUUUGGAGGUUGUGCCCUUGAGGCGUGGCUUCCGGAGCUAACGCGUUAAAUCGACCGCCUGGGGAGUACGGCCGCAAGGUUAAAACUCAAAUGAAUUGACGGGGGCCCGCACAAGCGGUGGAGCAUGUGGUUUAAUUCGAUGCAACGCGAAGAACCUUACCUGGUCUUGACAUCCACAGAACUUAGCAGAGAUGCUUUGGUGCCUUCGGGAACUGUGAGACAGGUGCUGCAUGGCUGUCGUCAGCUCGUGUUGUGAAAUGUUGGGUUAAGUCCCGCAACGAGCGCAACCCUUAUCCUUUGUUGCCAGCGGUUAGGCCGGGAACUCAAAGGAGACUGCCAGUGAUAAACUGGAGGAAGGUGGGGAUGACGUCAAGUCAUCAUGGCCCUUACGACCAGGGCUACACACGUGCUACAAUGGCAUAUACAAAGAGAAGCGACCUCGCGAGAGCAAGCGGACCUCAUAAAGUAUGUCGUAGUCCGGAUUGGAGUCUGCAACUCGACUCCAUGAAGUCGGAAUCGCUAGUAAUCGUAGAUCAGAAUGCUACGGUGAAUACGUUCCCGGGCCUUGUACACACCGCCCGUCACACCAUGGGAGUGGGUUGCAAAAGAAGUAGGUAGCUUAACCUUCGGGAGGGCGCUUACCACUUUGUGAUUCAUGACUGGGGUGAAGUCGUAACAAGGUAACCGUAGGGGAACCUGCGGUUGGAUCACCUCCUUA
Molecule: ribosomal RNA, 1540 nt
Filed under: Klebsiella pneumoniae
Lineage: Bacteria; Pseudomonadati; Pseudomonadota; Gammaproteobacteria; Enterobacterales; Enterobacteriaceae
Description: bacterial SSU rRNA
Rfam family: Bacterial small subunit ribosomal RNA
Source: RNAcentral